CUUGCCUGGUUCAUCAGAGUCUUGAAAUCUUCUGGUCCUUCUCCAAGUACUCCGUCUACUUCGUCAACUAACGUUGGAAACAAACACAAUAAGCAACACAACAAGGCAAGAAUAAAUGUGCUCUAAAAAUGUGAAGUUGACUUUUAUUGGAUACCUCUGGUCAUAUGAGGAAUGACCAAAGUGAUUUCAUUGGAAGUGGAUCAAUGGAUAUUUCUAAACAUUUCGAUAUGAUGGAAUCAAGGGGUUUAUGGAAUUGCAAGAAGUGUACAGAAGAAUUAUUUUGAAAAAAAUGAGCAAAGGCACCCAUUUAACAAAGGAUGAUUUUAGAAGCAUCUAGGAAUUGGUUUCACUGGAUCUGGAGUUGAGAUCAUUUUCCUAUGAAUUUGCAAAGUUGGCUAUAUACAAAGAAAUAGACCAUUAUUUGAGGUGAUACAGAAAGUAUUAGUAAAAAUGUUCAAAAACUAAGUUUUGAACUUAUAGACAUCUAGGAUUUUGAAUCAUGGAAUUUGGAUCAAAAAUGGGCUCUCUUUGAUUUUCUAAAGUUUAUCACAGAAAUAGGAAAAUGGGGAUUUGAUAAAUAGUUGUGAAGAAGAAGUCUCUGGAAAAAUGUGCAUGUUGCACCAACAGGUAGAGCAUGAUUUUAUGAGUUACUAGAAAUUUGAAUCAUCCAAUUUGGAGUCCAUUUGAAUUGUUUAGAGAUUUUUGAAGUUCACUGGAUAAAGAAAAUGAGAAAAAGGGUUUUAUACCUAAUCUCACGUGCUGAGCGUAAUUUAGCCGGGCAGCGCACUGGGCCUGGCCCAGCUACUCGCGAACCCCCGAUGGGAGGCCACGCCGAAGGAAUAUUUGCGGGUAACGCUUUCCCCGAAGGGAAGCGUAGAACGGCUGGCCCGUUUCCACUUAAAUGACGUGGCCGGCCGGCGGGGUCACUGACCUGCGGGGCCCACCCACAGGGUCUUCUUCCUCGUCCCGCGCUCGCGAUAGGAGGGGAUCGAGCCCGUCUACGCGCCGGCCGGCGCCUUCCCCCGGCGACACAGGCCACCUCUGGCCAAGCUGCGGCCACCGGAGGGGUCGCCAGGGAGCGGCGCAUCAGGGGAUCCCCGGGGAUGGCAGGGAGGGUGGCCGAGGCGUGGCGGGCACUGGCCAAGGCGGGCGGACACCCAGGCGAUGAUGGGCAGGGGCACAGUGCCCCGGCGGUCAGGGAGAUGGGGGGGAAAGGGUCGCCGGACCCUGGAUGCUUUCCUGGUGAGGAGAGGAGGAGGGGAGAAGCCCGCCCUUGCCCGAAUCGGAGUGGAGGCCGGCGGCGGCACUCCGGCCAUGGAAGGUGCUGGAGGGCACGAGGGGGAGAAGGAGGAUGUCUGAGGGGUGCACGGGAGAGAGGAGGUUCGAAACCAAGCGAGAGAGAGGGUCGGGGUGGCUUAAAAUGGGCGAGGCCGCGGUGCACCAUGGGCAGCGUCCAUGGACGUGCUCGGGUGAGCUCAUGGAGGGAGAAGGAGGGCGAGGGAGGAAGGGGCCGACAGUGUUGCGUGUCGUGGACACCGAGGCGGCCUCGGGGGACACGAUUCCGGAGCCCAAGGUCGACGGGAGGCCUUGGAAUGGGCGUGCUACAGUGCCGGAGAGCACUGUAGCGUGCUCCAGAGCGCGAGCUCUGCACGCCAUGGCAUUGUUUAUGUGCCAGGGGCGUGUCCACUAGUGUCUGGGGCUUUGUGGGGUGAGUAAACAAAGGGGAGGAAGCAUUGGAUGCCAUGGAGGGCCACUGGAAUGAGGAGGGAGGUGAGAAGGGAGGAGAAUGCUGCUGUCCAGAAGGGUAAAUGGGGUGUUUUACCCCUCAAUCAUUGAGCUGAGGCCAGGGAAGAGUUACUGGAGAUAGGAGAAGACUAGGAGGAGCUGUGGUAAAAAUUUGAGGUCAUGGAGAAGAGUGGAAGUGGUCAAAAUGAUGAUUUUGGAAAAAUGGCAGAAGGUGUUUGUUGUUGGUUUGGGCAAGAAAAUUAAUUCCACUUGCCAUGAGAAUUAACAGGAUGGAAUGGCACAUGGAAGUAGGGUGUUCCACCAAGUUUGAGCUCAUUUGGGCAAAGUAGCCAAUGCAACUUUGGUAAACCCUAGAAAUCAGCAGAAAUGGCUUUGCCAAGAUCUAGUCAUGCAAAUCUAUUCUCCUUGAUGCACCACUUGGUGUAGUAUCAUCAUUUGAGGAUUUGACCAUGUCCACAAAAAUUCAGAUCAAAAGGACACACUUGGAAAUGUAGAGUUGUCCAAAUUUGGUUCUGGACAGGAAGGGUUUUGGGGCACUUUGAUCAAGUUAACUUGUUCUCCAACUUGUGCCAUUUGGUCUAGAUUAAUUAUUAGACCAUUUGAGCAUGUUCACAAGGUUUGAGAGCAUUUGGACAUGUUUGGCAAUGUAAAGUUGCUCAAACUUCAAAAUGGACAGAAAUGGUUUUGAGGGGAUUUCAUGGAGUUUUACUAUUCUCCAUGACAUGAUACUUGUCAAGAUCAUCAAACAUGUCAUAUGUGACAUGCUAGAAUUUUCUUGGAAUUUUUGGAGAAUAUUUCCUUUGUAAAUAUUUCAAAAGCUUGAAAUAUCCAGAAAGGGUUUUUGAGGGAUUUGACCAAUAUUUUGAACAUGACCAUGUGUUGAAACUCUUAUAUAUGGACAAUAUAUGUCCACUGAGUUUCCCUAGGUUUUUGUCAAAUUUUUUUAAAGCAAUAAAAUAAUUUUUCCCUAUUAAAGACCAUUUCUGGCCUUAAGAAAAAGCUUUUAAAUAAAAUAGUAAAAUAACCUUUAAAAUUAUAUUUUUGUGGUUUCUGGGUAUCCUAUAUCUAAUAGGAGUCAAAUAUAUUUUUGGAAAGAUUUUUACUGCCCUUAAUUAAGUACUUGCAGUGCAAACCUCAAUUCAGGGGUUUUUGAAAAACUAAUUUUAGAAAAUACUUUUUGGCCAAAUUAUUUUUGCAAGAAAUUAUUUUUAUAUCCUAUACACAUGGCAUGAUCAUUGGGAAAGGUUUUUGGAGCAAGGAGAUGAAGUAUAGAAGUUGGAGGAUUUAUUUGAUUUUUAGAGCACUUGCAAACAGCAAACAAAAAUCCAAUCAAGCAAAGCCAAAACACUCAAAAGUUUUUGUCAAACCACAUUUUAGCAUGAUUUAAUGACUUUAAGUGUUGUGCCAUGAAAAUCAGGGUGUGACAGACCUACCCCCCUUACAAGAAUCUCGUCCCCGAGAUUCCCAAACUAGGCAUGGAAAGGAAUAUGAAAACUGGAUCCGGGGUAGUCUUCAAGUCCUCAUGUUGCUUCUGCUUCUGAGUGGUGCUCCAUUGAAUCUUGAAAGACCUGGUGUUGUAGCUACGUGUAUGACGCUCUCGGUUGAUCCAGGUUGCUGAGGGGUCUCUCGCGUUAGGUCAGGUUGGACUAGGGGUCGAUGGCUCGGUGGUCAAUGCCCUCGUAGAGAUCGGGCAAGUUAGGAAGUUGGAAACACUUCUGGGGUUGUGAUGCAUGGAAAGUGUUGUGCACAUUAGGUAACUCAAGUGUUAACUCCAGCUGGUAACUGUCUUCUCUUCAUCUCAUAGUGAUCUCAGAGGGGGUUGUUAAAUCUUGGAGUGAUCUCGAAGGGGGCCGAUGAAUCUUGGUGUGGGUCUCCUUGUCAUGGAAAUGCUUGGUUCCUUAGAGAGAAGUGGCUUGCAGAUACACCUGGGCUUCGACACGGAUGUUUACUUCUUGAUGAUGGUGGUAGUUCUUCCUCCUUGGCAUGGCGGUCUUCAAAUGUCCCUGGACUAGCUGAACGGCUCUUCUCCUGUCUUCAGGCGGACAAGUAGGUCACCAAAUGAUGAUGACAACUAUCUUGUCUAAGCACUCCAUGAAGUCUAUGGGGUACGUAAAGUGGGCUGAGGCAUUGGUGAUGGUCAUGGUUGAGCAUUGGCCAAGGUCUUAUUGAUCUAGAGCCAAAGCCCAAGGUCAGGAUCCGACCAUGUUGUGGCUUGGUAGGGCUUAAGGGUUUCAAGGAUUCUAGUGCGCGAGUGAAUGUUUAUCAUCCCAUCCCUGAGCACAGUUUCUGAGAUGCCAAUACUUCUACCUAGUCUUCACCUCAUAUUACCAAAAGAAUCAUCUUGUAUAGGUCAACUCCAAUCAUCACUCAUGUGAUGCAUAUCCUCAUGGCUCCUGAGAGGAGGUCUAACAAAAUCAUAUAUGUCUACGAUCCCCAAACUCAUGUGUGUGGCUACCCCUAAAAAUCCAUGGGUAGAGCAUACAGGCUGCUAAGUUUGAAUGUGACAAUCCAAGUGCUCAGCCUGUUCUUCCAAGGUCUAAGAUAAAGCACCUCUAUCCUAAGGAAACAUGUCGUAAGCCACUCCAAGAUCUUGUUUCCUUCCUAUGAAUCAACUCCAACAACGUGUUAACUUCCAUUAAUCACUACAUAAUCCAUUAAUUCUACAAAUCCAAUGCCUAUGCUAGUGUUCCACAUGAUCUUCUAAAGUCCUUAUAAUCCCCGAAUACUUGAAAGAGCUAUAUUUACUAUAGUCAGUCCACCAAUUCCCAUCCUUGGGGUCAAGUAACUUCCAAGGUCAAGCUUAUAUCAACUCCGACAAUUAAUCCAAUCUCCUAGUUUAUUGUCCUCCAAGAAACAUGGUAUCAUGAUCGAGAUCAUCAGUCUAAAUCCAAUUUACUCUGAACCAUGUAGACUUACUCAUCACCUAUACUCAACUAGGAUCACCUAUUUAAAUCCAAAUCUCAUGUCCAACAAGAAUUCCUACAUGCUUCCCCAAAGUCAUUAUCAUAAUGGCAACUAUCUCCUAUCAAUAUCCCCUGGCUAAGUCAAAUCCUCAUACUUCCAAGAAUUCAGCUUGCAAUCUUAAUUGUCCCACUAAAUCCAAUUUACUCAGGGGUAAUGAAAGCUAUGCUACUCUAUAAUCAUGAUCCCACCAAGUUCAUCUACCAAUAUCAAAGCCUCAUAAUCCACCAAGUAGUCUCAUAUAAUUCCUCAAGUCAUUGAUAUAAACUCAUCAAGUCAUUUGCCCUCUAUUCCUAUAUCCUCAGAUUGGUCCUCCCCAUGGCAUCGUCGGUUCUGGUGCUACCUUAGGAUGGUAAUGUGCUCAUUCUCUACGUCCACUAGUUCCAUAAUGAACCCAGUGAUAAGCAAGGCUUACUGUAGCUUAACUUGUUCUCUUGUGAUUCCGUAGGUUAAGCUCAGGGUUAAGGUUUCAAGCUGGGGUAUCUCGUGAAGUCUCAAAGGGUUUAGGAAUGGGUUCCUAAUCUUGAGGGUUAAACAUAAUUCUACGGAGUUGCAUUUGGUCGAGGAGGCUGCAACAAAAAGUCUUCAGUGCUAGUUGGUCGCCGAAGGAGACUCCUUGGUGCAUCUUGUCUUGCUUGUCUUCAGUUGAGGAAAGAGAUGAGAGGGAAAAGUAGCAUAGAGGAGGGGAAUGCCUAAAGGGGGUUCUAUAGUGCUAGUGUAAACAAACAGGUGCAAAGAGGGCCAAACAAAAGAAACAAGGUGAGGAAGGUGAUAUAGUCGCAUACUUGUCGCCUAGGGCAAAAGUGCGACCUAUAUCAAAACACAGACAAAUAAAAACAAGCAACACACAAUCAUGGUUCUAUUCGAACUAUCAUACAGACUCGACUGCGCAUAGGGGGUACACGACUCAUCCUACCCUAGGGGUUCUCGGACUCAGUAGUCGUGCCUUGUGCCUCAUGCAGUCUUUUGAGUUUUCCUCAGGUGUUGCUACGUCUCUUGUAGUUGCUCGAUGAAACAAUCCGGGUUGAGCCUGAAGAUUCUUCAACAACUUCUCGCCUGUUGAAGUGAUGGGGUGAAGGUGGCCCCUCAUAACUGGCAUUGACUUGGUCUUCUAUUGUCUUCUUAAUCACGACGAUCCCUUUUUGUCUUCUAAGCCGUCGAUGGUACCAGGUAGGUAAUCCUUUAUGCAAUGACAUUAUCAAGGCGUAAUAGAUGUCCAUCAUGUCGGUUACGUUGAUGACAACAUCGACACCAAGAGCGGGGGAUGAGGAGAACCGUUUUCCUGCUCACUAUGGUGAGGCGGACCAAAUGGCUAGGUUCUCAUCCAUCGGUGGUUGCCGAUACAACAACGGUAGUGACAGGGUUACUCUAUUAGCGAUGUAUAUCAUGAUCUUGCAUAUCCUAUGCCCUAAUCAUCGUAGGCUAAGGUUGCAUCAUCUUGGGGCAGUGUCAAGGGUGUCACCAUCUCCUGGGUCUUCAGGUCCUCAUUCCUCGAGGAUGUAUCUUCUGUUGGUAUCGUCUCGUUGUGAUGUCGCCAAUAUUGUGUUCAGGAGAUGUGGGUGAAUGCCUGACAAGGCAUCUUCCUUCCAGAUUAUCCGCAAGGAUUACAAGGAAUCCUGUGGUCAGGGGCAUAAGGGUUCUAGCGACCAAAGGUUUUGAAUGGGAAGAGACCAAUAAGGAAAGUAUACCUUAGUUUUCGAAAAACUGAGAAGGGAAGAGAAGUACAGAUAGUUUUGAAAACUAGUAGUAGUUUUGGAAAUAGUUUUACCCUAACUAACGACCACGCUAACUAAGGCUUCCUACAGUCAGGAUGGCUCUGAUACCAGCUCUGUGGGGACCCCGACUCAUGAGUCGUGAUCACCGAAUGCACGUGUAUAGUGAUCCCAGAGAUCAAUGCUCACUUAACACAGAGAAGCUGAAUAACAAGAGUCUUACAUCCAUACAUACCGUCUUACACAAAUUAUGACCAUUAUGGUCAAGUCUUACAUUGAUAAAGCCUUAAGGGCUGAACAUCAAAUGAAACACAAGCAGCGGAAAUCUUCGUUGAUAAGUAGAACCCAUGCCAUCUGCCUUAACCCUACAGGCAUUCUGACUGGGAAACGUCCUAGUUCGCAUGUUCGUCUCCAAAGAACUCUUCUUCGAACUCCGGUUCUUCCAUGCCUGGUCAAUUAAAUAACCAAUGGCAAGCCAAUGAGUACUUUGAAUGUACUCACAAGCAACCCAUGUUUUGGUUCAAGAUACAACAAUGCUUGAUAUAGGUAAAUUUUGCAGAAAGCUAGUUUUGAGUGCAAUGACAUGUUCAACAACUGUGUAAGGCAUGCAUCAAGAGAAUUCAAGUAACCAUGAGGACAGGUUACAGAUAUCAACAUAAAUAGAGUGGGCACCAACCCAUCUAACAUAAAUAGAGUGGGCACCAACCCAUCUAACAUAAAUAGAGUGGGCACCAACCCAUCUCAAUCAUGUCAAGUCCCUUGACUUGACCCAAGUCAUUUUAUCAACACACACGCUUGGUUUGUAAACAAGUGGACGUAGCCCAAGAGCGGUUACCCAACUGUCCUUGACCGUGGACACGGCUAUUCGAAUAGUUUUACACUCUGCAGAGGUUGCACACUAUACCCACAAGAUCCGGGGAACUUCCGUGUCAGCCACGACCCGCGGUACCUCAAGUACCCGGGUUAAGCACCCGAUCACUACCUUUCCCUAGACGACACUAACAAGGAGUCCACUUGUUGCUCCGUAUCCUCACGAUGCACAUCAUACGAGACUCACUCGAGAUCGUAACAUCCGAGAGGGGACGCAAUGGUGUAUCCGGUGCCCUGUGAAAACAGUCAUGGCCGCCCAACCUGGCACGACCCCGUCCCGAGAGAGCACACCAACAACUCUCCCGUCACUAGUAAUGCGGGCUCCAAGCUAGUAUCAGUCUAGGUAAUCAAUAAUGCCCUUUCCCAUAUAAGGGUAGAGUGGUUGCACAUGUAAGGUUGGAAUAACGGUCGCAACUUAAACCAAUCCGUUUUUGAAAAUAACACACACACUUGCCUCGGUACACCACUUCGUCAUCAAGUGGCUACCCAACUCAUCAUCUCCCUCGGGCAUAAGUGGCACCCGACGGGGUUUUUGAAAAGUCCUUUGAAAAUACUUUGUCUCCAUCACCAUGCAUAUUCCCGUCCCUUUUGCGUAGCAACUACUUUAGCAUCCUACCUACUCCCACCGGCAUAACCCUCAUAAGAAGGUAGGGUCAUGCACAAUGCAAGUAUGAACAAGGAAUUAACGGUGGCAAACCAUCAACGUGGGUACCACCUCAUCAUGAUUCCGAUGCAACAAUAAUAAAGAGCUAUAUGACAUGCAUAAAAAGGGUUUCAUAGACAUGGUCAAAGGGCUGCUUGCCUGGUUCAUCAGAGUCUUGAAAUCUUCUGGUCCUUCUCCAAGUACUCCAUCUACUUCGUCAACUAACGUCGGAAACAAACACAAUAAGCAACACAACAAGGCAAGAAUAAAUGUGCUCUAAAAAUGUGAAGUUGACUUUUAUUGGAUACCUCUGGUCAUAUGAGGAAUGACCAAAGUGAUUUCAUUGGAAGUGGAUCAAUGGAUAUUUCUAAACAUUUCAAUAUGAUGGAAUCAAGGGGUUU
This 8333-nucleotide long non-coding RNA is filed under the name Triticum aestivum (bread wheat). RNAcentral describes it as "long non-coding RNA (TAES_LNC027179)". Lineage: Eukaryota; Viridiplantae; Streptophyta; Magnoliopsida; Poales; Poaceae. The record is from RNAcentral.